CUUGGCUAUACAAUAUUUUCAUACCCCCCCGCCCCCAACGUCUCUCUAUCUUCUUCAACGCAAAUUGUCAUGUCUCCUUAAAUGAAGCAGAUCUCUUCUAAUCUACUUGAAGCUUCUAAUUCUUGUUUCGCUCCGAUUUUCCCACCGAGAUUUGCCCGAAUUUCUCUUCUGAUCUCAGUUUUAUCCACUUCUGAUCUACGCAAAUUCACUUGGCUCUUUCUAAACCUUUUGUCAGCUUGAUAUUCACGAUCGAUCAAAUGCUGCUUUCUUCACAAAGAUAUUUAGAGUAGCAACGGAGUUGGAUUGGAAGCGAGAUGCUUUUCGCUUUUAGUUGUAGUCUGCUGCAGUUUUAGGGGACAAAAGUUUGGCAUCAAAGACUGAUAAAGUAAUUGAUAGCUCACAAAGUACUUGUAUGGACGAAAUUAUACCCCAACUUUGUAGCACUUGCUGGUGUAUCAUAGUUUUGUUGCUGUGGCUGGCUAAGCUGGAGAUGGACAGGUACAUGUGAUUCCUCUCCCAUGCCCAGACCAUUUGUGAGAAGGGAAUUCCUGUUUGCUCCAUUUACUUCUCUGGUUCCAUAAACCUGGGAUGUGAAAAUAUGCUGAUGAGGGUGGAAUAAAACACCUUACAAUUUCAUUCAGGACUAAGGUUUGCCUUCUUAUAGAGUUCCAUAUUUUCUUGGUGAAUGAGGUUUCCCUGCAACAGAUACAUCAAGUUCAGCUACUUGAAUUAAAAAACUUAUGUAAAGGAAGUUAGUAGCUUUUGUCUACAGGCCUACCUUUCUAUUUAGUUCUAGUAUUUCAUCCAUUAAAAUUUGGUCCUGAUGAAAUCAAUAUCAGUAUCAGUGAGAUGAAUGUGCUCCACAUCUUGGAAAUUUACUGCACACUGGGGUUUUAGGAAUUUCAAACCUUUUUCAUGCGAACACCCCGGAGACUCAUUUCCAACUGGUUCUCCAAAUUCUGCAAAUCCUUUACGCUUAAACCAGAAAGUUCUUCACCCAUCAUUUGCCUGCUAUCAUCAUAUGGAAAUGUAAACUUUGCUAGCUAGGCAUAUAGUGAAAAGCAAUAAUUCAUUUCAUCCUCUUACAGUAUUCAGUUUCUGAAGGAUUUUUCAAUAGCAUUAAGCUGUUGCGGAUGCUUCCUUUUUGUUCAGAUGCAAAUCUUUUCCUCUCAUGGUUAUUUUUCUUGUUUAGUUCUACUAUGAGAAAACAGUUGGUCCUUUCCUCACUUGUGCGGGUCUAUUCAUGUUUCCUUAGUUUUCCAUUGUUUGUACAUAAAAUAAAUAUUCUAGUUGUUUAGUUAAUCUUCGAAAGACAUUAUGGAAAUUACUUGCUCUAGUUUUAAAAGUUGCAGAUAGUUUAUUGAAAUUGUUUAAUUGGCUUAAAAGUCAUUGGUUUAACACUGAUAAAAUUUCUGGGGGUCCUAAACAAGACCAGCACUACUUGAAUAUGUUUAGGAGAGGAUGUGUGGCUGAUGCCUUCAUGUGCCCCCCUUUGCUCCUGAUGCACAAUGUUGACAUUCUUUUCAGGUGACUGAGAUGAACUUUUUCAGUGUGACACAAGUGAAUCUUUUUUGUGACUAAAUUGUCACGUGGACACUAGUGAUACCUGCAAGCAUCUGACCUUAAAUAAUAGCAUGCUCCAUCAGAAGUUUCAGUUUUUCAUAUUCAACCUUAAAUAAUAGCAUGCGCCAUCAGAAGUUUCAGUUUUUCAUGUUUAGUCUGUUGCAAUUACUCUGAUGUCACUCGUUAUGUUCAUAUAUCUCAUAUAAAACAACAUUGGUCAAAGGGAAUGGAUCAUACCGAUGAUUUUCUUGCAAGUUUUGCAGUUGCAGUCUCAACAUUGCUGUCUCCCUUUGCCAGAACUAGCAAAUGUAAUGCGCAAUUUAGUGGAAUUGCUAACUUUUGUGGUCAACAUGCACACACCAAAAUGAAGAGUAAUUGGCUUCUAUUGUUAUGAAAACACAUCUGAAGAGAAAUAGAUAAAAAAAACAUCUAUCUGUUUCAAGGCUGAGAAGCCACUCUCUGAUCUCCAUGUAAUGGUUAUGAUUUAUUACACCAUGUUUUUUCUUUUCUGUGUCUGAUGACCUCCCCCUCUCUGAUAUCCAUGUAGCUCUCCCCCAAUUUUUCUCUCUAAAACUAGGAAGUGUUUUUUUUUUUGUUUAGUAUCUUCACACAAAUGUGCUUCAAGAUGUCAUCUAUUGUUCUUGCUACUGAUAAAAUGUCUUGUGAGUUCUAUCGUCAUGCAAAUGGUCCCAAUCCCGGAUAAAGGACAGAAAUGGUCCCAAUCCUGGAUAAAGGACAGUUGCAGUUAGCAGAGGUCCAGUGUAAGAUAUGUAGCUACACCUUAUAACUUGAAUCAAUCAAUAAGGCUUGGCUGUGUUGAGUUCAUGUGCUUUAUGAUAAUUUUUGACAUAAUACUAUUUAUCUAUUCAGGUGGUUAUAUUUAUUUAAUCAGUUGUUUCAUGCUUUGCCUAAGCCUGAAUACAUGAAUGUUGUCAUAUAAUGUGUGUUUAUCCUGCUAAUUUAUAACAGAUAAUACAAGGCUGAUUUCCUGUCAAUAGUUUGAAGCUUAAUGAAGUACUCUUCAUUGGUAUGAACUGAACUUCAAUAUUAGUUGAUUUUGCUGCACGAUUUUGGCAUUUCAUUUUCCUGUUGCUUUUAACUUGGAGGAUAUCUAUAGUAGACAGUACAUUCAUGCAGCGAACACCAGGCAUUCCCAUUGUCAUUGUCUUUUUUUUUUUUUUUUUGUAUUUAUCAUGUGCUAAAAUAUCAGAAUCCAGUUGAGAAAUAUAAUUGGUUUCUGUUCGUCAUCCCUAAGUCAUUCUGGACUCAAAAAAUUGAUAUGUUAUUUCCUUCAGCAAUAGUAGAACUGGGAACUAUACUGGUUUUGUAAUUUGCGACAAUUUUUUAUGUUCAUGUUCAAAUGGCUCUUUGCCUCUUUGCAAUCAUAUCAAAGGCCAUGUCCUAGAUGUGACACAUCUUAUCUGUAGUCUGUACAACUGUAUCUUCAGUUCCAUUCUUUAUAGCCUCAUUAUGCCUGAUACUUUCUUUAGUUAGAUGGCCCAUGUUAGUUAACAUAUACUACAGAUAAAUUACCAGAAACAUUAAGAUUUUCUUACUUUAUUAACUCCUUUUGUGAAACAAAAUAUCUCAACCCUUGGAUGUCAUAAUGCUAUGUUUGUAAGUAUAGCUCGCACUUUAGGUGCAGACUUUUAGCUGAAAUACAAAAUUGUUAAAUACAGUAUCUUUUAUUGUAAACAAAAAAGAAAAGAAAAGAGCUGUAUUUGUUGCUCAUGUUGGUAAUAGCAUUGUUUAAAGUAGCAAAAGCAAAGUUCAACAUGAUGAUUGUAUUUGAAGCUAUCUUUGAUGAAAAUGCAAUGUUGAAAAACUAGAGAUGUGUAAGCUGUUUCUCUGAAGUAAAAGUAGUCAAUCAAAAUCUACAUAUUCUUUUUAAUGCAUACCCAAAUUUUAUGUAUAAAUGUGGCAAAAAUCAGGCAAAUCAAAUUUUGUUAGAAGUCAUAAAAUCUAAAUUCACUGGGUACUGAAAUACCUUGAGUUCUGAGGUUGGGUUGCCCAUUAGAUGAUGCACCUCUUUUGAUUUGUUGUAUCGUUCAAUGACUGAUUUCAUGCUGCAAGAGCAGAUUUAUAUUGCAUCAGGGAUGGGUGCCGUGUUCUAUGUGAAUGCUUUCUAAUAACAUUUAAGAACAAAAUGUAUGGAAUCACCGCAAGGAUAAUUUCUCGACGAAGCAGAAUGGACACAUUUAAACUAUAUCAUUCAUGUGUGGAAGAAGUCAUUCGAGUUGUCCUGGCUAUAGGAGUUUGAGCUACCAGUGGAAUAUCCAUAAAGAAAAUCUAGUCUGCAAGUGGAUAGCAAUUGGAGCACCAUCUCAAGAUAAGUUUCCAAUCCUUGUUUUAUUUGAUGCUGGUUUUGAUGUUGAUAGAUCUCGCGUCAGUUUUAACCAUUCUUUCUUUUAUGGGGUGGAAAAGGGAAGCUCACUUCCUAUUGUACUCUCUUCCCUCUUCAUUAUUUUUCUUCGUCUGACACUGUCAAGAAUUGUGUACCGAUGAAAUGUGUAUAACAAACUACUUGCAAUCAUUUAUUGUAUGAUUGUGCAGAAAGCAUAGACUUGCUAUGUUUGGAAAUUUUAUAAUAUGAAUUGUAAUAUUUUGCAUUUUAAUUAGGUGAAAAUCCAUAAUUUUAUGGUUUUGUCUUCAGUACUUGGAAAAGCUGCUGCGGCAUCUUUAGGAGUUUAAAUUAUGUGGAUUGUUGGUUCAAUAAAAUUUAUAAGGCCUAUGUGUGAAAUUUAGGGCUAGACCAUGUGUGAGAUUUAGGGCUAGACCAAGGCAAUUCUAAGGAGAGAUGAAAGAAGGAAAUAUCUGUUGGAAAAUGGCAAGUAACUGACAUCUGAAAAUGCGCAACUAAGAUGUUCUUACACUCAUUAGCAGCAGAUAGACUCCCAAGUUUUCAACUUCUUGAAUUGUUGACUCUCCAUUCACAGGAAGAAGGGACACCUUCCAAACUACUUAAUAAUGAACAGCUUUCACUCCUCUGUGCGGAUGCAUAAGGCUGUGGAUUUUUGCUGCUUCCAUAGUAAAAUAGCAAUAUUUGAAUACUGCUAAAGAUUAUUCGUGAGCUAUAUCCAAAUUCGUAAAAUGAAGCUUUGUUCUUAAAUGCUGCAUAUCUGGAGCUUCAUUUAGAGUACUUAUCCCUUCCUGACAAUUUUGUAGCUAUAUGUUGUGAAAACGAAAUUAUCUGAGUUCUGUAUAUUGCUUCCCCUUUACAUUUCUUCAUUAGGGUGAUUGAGAUCUUACAAAAACCUUGUGGUCAACCUCUCUAAUACACUUUCCAGCAAUCUGAAGUUUUUGGUGUUGAUAAACCACUCUAUAUGAGACUGACAUGAUUUUCUACCAGAUCUUAACAGUUUCAAGUAGAGCAAAUACAUGGAUUACAGCCACCCGCCCACCCCCAAAACCAAGAUAAACGUAGUAAUCUGUAAUCUCAUCUUGUUUGUUAGAUCCUAUUAUUGAUACAUUGGUGCAACUAAAGCAUGUCAUCUCGGAUCUGUAAUAGUCCUUCAAGUAAGUCCAAGACCCAACCAAGAGUGGAUGAAGAAACUUGAGGUUGGAUAUAUAAACAGAAUUAAAUUAGACUGGAUUAGAAGACGACCAAAUCACAGCAAGCUCUUGUCGAUAUCCUAGUUGUUGAUGCUGUGUUGAUAUUAUUUACUGAAGGAGAAUGAGCAGCUGUCUACUGUAUAUAUAUGUUUUCAGUAUCUAAACCUGAUAUUUGACUUGUGCUAUCUGAAACUUCUGACGAACACAUUGAAUUUGUUACAUUAGCCCUACUUGUUUGUUUGUUUGUUUGUUAGCAAAAAGCAUGCUUGUAAUGCAUUCGAGUUUUCUAUUGAUAUUAGUGAAAGGAACUUGAACCCCAGUUUGAUGCUUUGUUUUCACUUGUCUGUAUUGCAUUUUAAUUGGAAAUUUUCAUUUUGCACACAGGAUGUAGCGAGCUGCAUUUUAUGAGACCCUCUGCAUUAUGUAUGAACUUUCACUCGAGUAAACAAAGGGCCUAUUAGCAUCUGGGGUACAACGUCGAUUUCAUGACUGUGCAGGUUUGACAUGAUAAAAUAAUUUAUGAACAAUCAAAGUCAAACUACCCUGGGAAUAUUGAUACGGUUGAAAGAAGUCCAUGAACUUGAAAGAGAGGGUGCUUCUAGAGUUUAAUUAUAAACUAUGUCUCCUCUUUGACUCCUAGUUAGCAUGAGAUAUUGAUGAGAGUCUCUAGCACACCAUGUGUUUUGACGAAAGAUGAAUGGAUUAUGUUGACUUGAAACUUUUACUUAA
Populus nigra (black poplar) is the source of this 5844-nucleotide long non-coding RNA. RefSeq lists it as uncharacterized. The transcript is spliced from 4 exons. The record is from RefSeq and is a predicted model, not a curated record. Lineage: Eukaryota; Viridiplantae; Streptophyta; Magnoliopsida; Malpighiales; Salicaceae.